Molecule: non-coding RNA, 134 nt
Filed under: Triticum urartu
Lineage: Eukaryota; Viridiplantae; Streptophyta; Magnoliopsida; Poales; Poaceae
Description: Bacterial small subunit ribosomal RNA
Rfam family: Bacterial small subunit ribosomal RNA
Source: Rfam by way of RNAcentral
CACCGCCCGUCACACUAUAGGAGCUGGCCAUGUUUGAAGUCAUUACCCUUAACCGUAAGGAGGGGGAUGCUAAGGGCUAGGUUUGCGACGGGAUUGAAGUCGUAACAAGGUAGCCGUACUGGAAGGUGCGGCUG